Long non-coding RNA from Gadus morhua (Atlantic cod), 402 nucleotides. RefSeq lists it as uncharacterized. The record is from RefSeq and is a predicted model, not a curated record. The transcript is spliced from 3 exons. NCBI's taxonomy places the organism in Eukaryota, Metazoa, Chordata, Actinopteri, Gadiformes, Gadidae.
CAACGGAGAGGGGCCACGACAGCCCUGUCAGAACGGGGGCCACAUCACUGGGUUGUUUCGAUGCAAAUUAACUUGAAUAAACAAAGAUAGUUUCCUCCACAGGGGAUUCGAGAGAAAUUUAAUAAGAAUCGCUACCGGAAAAGACAGCUGUAGCGUUGGAGGAGUACGUCUUGCUGCUCCUGGUAACAGAGGAGGCUUUGCUGGCCCUGCCUCCUUCACUGCUACCCUGGGAGGACUUCCCCCCCAGGUCCCCCGCUGAGCCUAUAGACGAGAUUUCAGCGCCAGCAGCGACGGGAUCCCCUUGCAGUCGGAGACCCCCGUGGAGUCGGAGAUGCAGUCCUUCCAGAGGUUGGAGAAGUAGUUUGAGGUGGUCAGCACGAUGCUGUCCACCUCGGACCAGGU